CCUACGGGGGGCAGCAGUGGGGAAUAUUGCGCAAUGGGCGAAAGCCUGACGCAGCGACGCCGCGUGAGGGAUGAAGGUCUUCGGAUCGUAAACCUCUGUCAGCAGGGAAGAACGGUCACUGUGCUAAUCAGCAGUGAAUUGACGGUACCUGCAAAGGAAGCACCGGCUAACUCAGUGCCAGCAGCCGCGGUAAUACGGAGGGUGCGAGCGUUAAUCGGAAUUACUGGGCGUAAAGCGCUCGUAGGCGGUAUGUCAAGUCAAGGGUGAAAUCCCCGGGCUCAACGUGGGAACUGCAUUUGAAACUGGCAAACUAGAGUGUGGGAGAGGAAAGUGGAAUUCCAGGUGUAGGGGGGAAAUCCGUAGAUAUCAGGAGGAACAUCAGUGGCGAAGGCGACUAUCUGGCACAUAACUGACGCUGAGGAGCGAAAGCGUGGGUAGCAAACAGGAUUAGAUACCCUUGUAGUC
This 465-nucleotide ribosomal RNA is filed under the name uncultured bacterium. RNAcentral describes it as "partial 16S ribosomal RNA". It matches the Rfam family "Bacterial small subunit ribosomal RNA", at positions 338 to 795 of the family's 1533-position model. The record is from RNAcentral.